GGCGGGCACCCAAGGGACUUGGGCGGGCACCCUGCCCCCGGGCCCGAUCGGCCUCCCGUUCGUUCCCGUGGCUUCUGGAGUCUUCUAGAUGGUAGAAAAUUGCGCGGCACAUUAAUAUCUCUAUGUAAACCUGACGUGUGGGCCUUUCUUUCAUAUUUCCUAAUAACCCCCUGUAGAAAUAGACAAACACCAAAACUCGUGGAAUUCUGUCAGAUAAAACCCUAAGUCUAGAUGUUGAUUUCAUUUGGAUCCUUUUCUUUGUUUAUUUGAUAAUUAAAUUUGAUACUUAAGGACCGUCAACAAACUCCCCCAAGCUUAUCUCUUGCUCAUCCCUGAGCAAGGAUAGACUCAGCAAUGGAUGAGAAGUUGUUGCAAUAUCUUAAAAAUUUGACGGUACACAUGCUUUUAAAUAAGAUCUCAUCUCUGAGUUAGAGUAAACUGUCAAGAACUAAAACUUACUUACUUUACCUUUCACCAUGGGACUUGUAACCGUCACUUCUGUCUUGAGUAGUUAAAAGAUAGAACAGUCUAGCCAAGUGCCAUGUCUCUUAUUCUUGAUCAGCUAUAGCUCUUGAGUUUUUGCAGAUUUUCAAAUAAAACUCAGAGAUUCCUUGUAUGACUCUCUAAAUCUCUCUUUUGUGGUAUUUCUGGAUCCUUACCAAGGCAGUGAUGGUAUAUGCCUUCUCUCAAGAUAUGUGGUAUUUGUGGUAUAAGGCAUAGUGACAUUGCCUUCUCUCUCACCCUACUCUAAUAAGGCUUUAAUAUCUAGAGCUCAUAGGUGGGAGAUAAAGUAUACAUACUUACAAGACAUUUAUUGUAUAGUCAAACCAUGGAUCCAAAGAAACAAAUCAAUAAGCCAAAUCAAGAUGUGCAUGUGUGGCAAAUGAAUGGUGUAUGGUGAUGAUGGUGAUAAUAAUGGUGAAAGUCUAAUUCUACUUUUGCUCUUUUGAGGGGAUACAUACCUUCCUUGCUUUUUGAAACUUUAUGAGGAGAAUGAGAUGCUCUAUCUUUCAUUUUUCUUUCCUCUCAGGUGGGUAUCCUGUACCCCUAAUUCUACUGUCGGACACUUGUCCAUUUUUACCUCUCGUCUCACUCUUUUUUUUUCUUUCGAGGUUCCGGGCACUUGCCCCUUUUUAUUUCCUCGUUUAUUUAUUUUUUUUCUUUUCUUCUCUUUUCUUUUUUCAGAGCACUCAUCUCUUGAGAUAAUAUAGCAAGUGGUAGUAGCAAGAUAACUUGAGCAUUUAUUUCAUAAGGGAAAACAGAAAUAUUUUUGGCUAUUCUCUCCCGAAUUAGGAGUAGAAUAUUUUUGGGUGGUUCUGGAGAUGAACAUGGAUGGAUAUAUGUGGAUGGUACUUCCGGAGUAGAAGUAGCAUAUAUGAGUGAACGUGCAAGUGAAUCUUGAUUUAACCACAUGACAAGCUCCUAAGGUUCUACAUAGCUUGACCACACUCAAUGCUCCUAAGCAGUAAAUAAUAAAUAUGUGGCUCAAAGUCUAGCAAGCAUGUAUAUAUAUGGUUGUGGUAGGAAUUUAAACUCUCACCAUACAGGAACUCAUCAUGCAAUAUUUUAAAGAUUUUUCAAAGAUAAAAUUCUCCAGAAUUCUAGCAUCUCUAGGCUCAACCUUUCCAUAUCGUAUCCGUUAACAACUUAGAUUUCAGAUCAAGUUUUCAUCCCACAAGUUUAGAUCUAGAGCAAGCUUUAAAUUAUAACAGUUAUGUCUAAACUUGAGAGAGAACUUCAAAUUUGCAAAUUAGGCAGAGCAACUAUUCAUCAUAUCCAUGCUAGAGUUUUAUUAUUAAGAUUCAGAUUAGCAUAGCCACUUUAUUUAUUUAUUAAACACACUAAGCAAAAGAUAUAUAUAUAAGCACAAAAUCUUUAUUUGGUUUUUCAUAGUUUAUGUAUUUUAAUAUUCUAAUAUAAUAUAAGUAUAAAGAUAGGUAGAAAUACUUAGCGAGAUAAAUGGGGGUGCUCUCCCCCAAGCUGAAUUUUGACGUAAUUUCUCUUGAUGUAGCUAGCAGGUGGCAGAGGUGUAUUUGAAAGUCAGCAGUAUUCUGACAGCGAUUAGAAUGUCCUCCGUCUGCUAGUCUUCUUGAUUCUUAAAUUCUGUGGAGCUCAAAUAGACAACAAAGCUUGUGGAACUAAUUAAGUGUUAGCAUAAAUAUAUAGCCUUCAUCAUGUUGAGCUUCCUCAACAAAUAUUACUCUCUGUUUUUAUAUUUUAAUUUUAUAAAGCAGAAAAGAAAUAUUUAUUUUAUUUUUAUGCCACCACAGUGAAGGUACUUAUGGGUUUUAUGCCACUCGUAUACUCACAUGGGGCUUAGUAUUUUUUAACAUUUUUAUUUUCUAUUCAAGAUAGCAUGAUUAACUAAUAAUCUAUUUAAGGAAAGUAAAUAAUUAAAGGGAAAAGGGAAUGCAGAAAGGAUAAAUAUGGAUAACUACCGAUCUUACCUUUCGGCGAUGGUUCAAUGUUUUAAGUCUUUUUAACAAGACUUCUCACCGUGUCCAUUCUUCAGGUGCGUCAUUUGAUUCAGGAGCGGACCUUGACGUCUGCACCUCUUGAUACGGUGUCACCCAUGUUCUUCGUUUGCCCAGCAGUUCGAAGUGCGGCGUUGGCAGUAACCUGCUCAGUGUGUUUGUGCUCGUAGAUCCAGGUCCUUCACUUGGUAGAGUCUGAGAGUUAUAAAACUCCUCUGUGUUUUUCUCAAAGUGUACCUGCUCAUAGAGACAAGGCAGAGAUCAAGUGCAUGGGUCCUGUUGGUGGAAAACACCAACAGAACCUAAAGUGUAUUUGUUCUUCUCUAACCCUAAGCAUAGUGAGCAAGACAAAGUUGAUGGAUGAAAAGUUCAUGAGUGUAGUACUUAUAACAUUUGUCAGAUCAGAUCGCUCAACCUUAUGGAAAGAUAAUCUAUCUAUGUAUAUGUCUUUUUCUUUAUAUCUCUCAAUGAUUGAAUGUGUAACAUUUUAGCUCAUAUGAUUAGGAGUGUGGGAUCAUGGAGGUAGUACUAAGAACAAGGAUUAAAGGACUAAACAUGUUGAAUCAGUUGGGUUGGUUAAUCUAGAGUUGUAAAUCAUACAUGUUUGUCUCUUUUAUUUAUAUGAACGCCAGAACCAAGGAGAAGCUUAUUUUAGUGAUAGUCAAGUACCUCAAGAUGUUACCUUGCUUGAAGAGUGAUGGUACAGUAUCACCUUGUGGAAGCUAUCCUUUCUUAGCGGUUGUGCAUCGUUUUUGUGGCACCCUCCAUGGAUCAUCUCUCUACGAUGAAUGAGCUAUGUCCUUCUUGUGCAAAUUGUUAAACUUCAUGUGUCACUCUCUUCGUCUCUGAUGUGAGUCUAUCUCAGGACUUCCCAAAUCGAUAUUGAAAGUUUUUUCUGCAGGGGUUAGUCCGACAAAAAUAUACCAAUGUCUACACAAGCAGUUUUUAGUUCAAUAACCGAACUAGACUCCAUGUCUAAUCACAUUAAGGAAGGCUGUUUAACCUAAGCACCAUGCUUAAUUUAAAAGCCCAUAGAAGUAUGUGCAGUACUUCCAAACUAACACUUACUAGACAAAGGUAACAUGACAGCAUUUAUAGAGAUCUACUCAAGUGGAGAUGAAGUAGUGUGAUUAGUAUUUAACAAAUUGAGCAUGUCUUAAAGGUAGGGACAACCAACAUAGCAACAUGGCAAAGGAUAUUUUUAUGUAAAGUACUCCCCCAAGCUUGAAUUUUGCAGAAUUCAAGUUUGGAUGAAUUUAAUUCAAUGUUGCAUGAUGAUUGGUUGGACAUACCUUGUACUUGCUUGUCAUUCAUCUGAUCUUCUUGUUCCAAUCUUGGAAAGGUUAGUGACAAGAAUACCCGAAGGAAUAUUUUUACAAUUAUCCUUAUAUGCUCAAUACACAAGGUAAUGUUGUAAAUAAUUAAAAACACAUGUUACGAUCUGAUCAGUGCUUAUUUUAGGACACCAAGCUUGUCCUUGGGAAACCAUCAAUUUAUGUCGGCGAAGUAGUUUCCCUUCCAACGCUGACCUAAAUCAAGAUCAACUCAACGAGAUCUGCAAUAUUUAUUAUAGACAUAUGCAUCGACAACCGCCCUUUUAAAGUUUUUAUAAAUAGAAAGGAAGAGGGGGUUGGAGAUCUCAAAUGUGGUGAUGUUGGAGAGACCAAUAGAUUGGGAAGAUGUUGCAUGUGAGCAUGGAGUAAACAAAGUGGCUAUGAAAUAAAUUCCAUGCUCAUUAAUGUUAUCUUCGUCUCCAAUUUGAAUGUUCAGAGUUUCGCUUGGAUUGGUCUCACUUAUGUCCUCUUCUAUAUUGGAUGAAUCUCAUCUUCAAAGGGAGUCAAGAACUCAUCAUUUGAAAUUGAGCCAAAGUCAGAAUCCAUUAAGGCUUCUUCCUUAUCCAUCCAUUCUACACAUUCUAGCCAUUUGGAACUUGUGAUCAGGAAAGGGGAGCUGAUAGAAUUUUCAAUAUGGCUUAGCUCUCCUUCACUUGAUAUGUCAUCCUCGACUUCUUCAUAACAGGAACCAGGACAUUCUCUAAGAGAACCAUUAUUGCGAGGAUUUGAAUUAUCCCUGCUUGAAGGUCUCUUAUGGAACCAGAAGUCUAAACCAUCAGCAUCUGAAAGAUUUAAGGUCGGAAUUCCUUCCUCCCUUGGAGAAUUUUGGGGUAUUGAUGGUUUAGGAUCGAUAGCUAAAGUUUGGAAUUGAAGUGGUUGUGAUCUGGCUAUCGAAACUUCUUCUUCUUGUCUAGGAACUGGUUUUGUCUCUUUCUCAGGGAUAUAAAAGCUAGGAGACUUUCCACUUAAUAAAUCAAUCAAAUUCCAAGCUUCACUAGCAGGUAGGUGAUAGAAGGAUCCUCUAGAGGCUGUAUUCAAGGUUUGCUUAUUUUCCCCACUAAGGCCCUCAAAAAAAUGAAUUAGAAGAACUUCUUCUGGAAUAGAAAGCUUUGGGCCAGUGAGAGUAAGGUUAAUAAAGCGGUCCCAUUAUUUCCUAAGAGAUUCUUCUUCCAGUUGUCUAAAAGAAAUAAUCUCACGCCGAAGUUCCGCCACUUUGGAGAUUGGAAAAUAUUUAGAAAGAAAACUACUAUAUAACUCCUUCCAAUCUCCAUGAACACUCCCUAUUUUGAGUUUGUACCAAUAUAUAGCUUUUCCCGUUAAAGAGAACGGAAAGAGCUUCCAUUUGAGGGUCUCAUCGGACAUUCCUUCUAUGCGAAGGAGGUCACAGACUUGAUAAAACUCUCUUAGGUGUGUGUAUGGGUUUUCCUCACCUUCUCCUGAGAAAGGUUGUUUUUGAACAAAUUCUAUGUAUUCGGGGUCUAUCUCAAAACUAGAUGCUAUGAUAGGCUUUGAAGAUUUUGGUGGUUCGAGAUGUGUGCCCGUACGUCUAUGAAAUUCAUAGAUAGACAUGUUUGAAUUCAUGAAAGACCAGAAAUCAAGGAUUAGAUAAGAAGAAAGAUUAGCAGAGAUGAGGCAAAGGAUAAAAGGAAAAUAUAUAUUUUUUUAUUUUUUUAGAAAAUGAUUAAGCUAGUUCGUAGUCAACUCAGCAACCGUUUCCCCGGCAACGGCACCAAAAAUGCUUGUUGACACUUGCUAACACCACUUGAAUACUAGGUUGUCAUCCCUAGCAUGGCACUAGAGUGUACUAUGGUAUUUAUACGCACACAGAUAAUCCGCAAGCGCACGGAUACCGUUGAAGCUUUUACCCGGUUAAAGGUUUUAUCGUAUCCACAGGGAAACGGGAGAACCAACUACGCUCUAACUUAACCAAGAUAGAUAGAUAGGUGAAAAUAGGAAAGAUAGUAGAAUCGAAUAAGAACAAUAUUAAAGGUAAGAUAACAGUGAGUGAUAAUAUGGGAAUAGAGAAUAGAGCAAUUCUAGUAUAUGGGCGAUGGUAGCAGAAUAGAGAGAAUAACUAUGGUUUCUCUACUUCAAAGGGGUAUGUCUAUGUCUGGGAGGAACCACGUGAUAAGAUUACACCACAAAGGAUGCUUAUCCAUAGGCCGAUAAACCCUACCCGUCCUGCUAACGAGAGGUGGACUAUAGAGGACCAACGUAACUAUCACCUACGCGGCCUACCACACGAUCCAGCUAGACAGGGGAUAUCCACAAGUAAUCUAGAUCUAAGCACCUCGCUUACACCUAUACUACAACUCUAACCUAUAGCGUCCUAUAGAUUAGAAGUACUCAAAAGAGUUGUGAACCAGAACAUACAUAAUUAGUAAUUGCAUAAUGAAUUAGAAGUAGAUUACUAGAGUCAUCCCAUGAGCAAGCUUGAUUAGAGCUUGAUCAUGACGAAGUACAACCGGAGGAAGAACCGACAAGCCGGCCUCUCCUCUAAUCCUCCUUCGCUCUCCAUCUUGCUACUAUCUAGAUCUACUCUAGUUUAGAGAAGAGAGGAGUGCUCUCAUCUCUAAACCCUAGGUUUUGCUCUGUCUAUGAAUAAUGAAUAAUGAUCAAGGGGUGCCUCCUCUAGGGGCCAGGGGGUCUGGUUAUAUAGUCUUUUCAGAUGAAUCUGGGCCGUCGGAUCAAACCGACAUUGAUCGUGUGGUUUUCCUUGAAGUAUUAGGUCGGUGGAGCAUGAUCCGCGAAGUUGAAGCUGAUUGGUUACUGUAGCUGGGCGGGCACCCAAGGGACUUGGGCGGGCACCCUGCCCCCGGGCCCGAUCGGCCUCCCGUUCGUUCCCGUGGCUUCUGGAGUCUUCUAGAUGGUAGAAAAUUGCGCGGCACGUUAAUAUCUCUAUGUAAACCCGACGUGUGGGCCUUUCUUUCAUAUUUCCUGAUAACCCCCUGCAGAAAUAGACAAACACCAAAACUCGUGGAAUUCUGUCAGAUAAAACCCUAAGUCUAGAUGUUGAUUUCAUUUGGAUCCUUUUCUUUGUUUAUUUGAUAAUUAAAUUUGAUACUUAAGGACCGUCAACAGUAGUGUCCGAGACUUGGGAAGUCUCCGAGGAACCCUCUCAGCUCUGCAACCAAGGCAAGCCCCGGAUGCAUUAACCCCUCCUUGAAUGUUUUAAAUCUUUUAUCACUUAUGAAUUGAAAAUGCUGCAUUACGUAGUUGAGAAUUGGGUUAACCUACUUGUUGCAUUUACUACCUUGAUAUUUGUUAUCUUGUCCUUGGCACCUGUUUUAUUUUAAAAUUGCGUAGUGAUGCUUAGCCCUACUACUAGAUAGGUUUUCAAACUAGAAAGUUUGAAGGGUUGUUGUGGAAUACUCUUAUGGUCAAUGAUGUUUCAACUUGAGACCGGUCGGUGGAUUUGCUUUAAGAAUGGAGUCUUAAAGUAGUGUCUCCAACUGUGUCGAUUAAGGACCGUUCCGUUGAUGGCCUGCUGGGUUGAGAAUUUAUAGUACUAGCCACUUGCCCUCGGUAAGCCCGGUCUUGUGAUCCCUCGACGCGAACGGCUACUCGCGCACUGGGCGUAGAGCGAUGGCGAGAGUAGUGUGUACCCUCCUGGCAAAUGGGCUGGAUGGUGGGGUACUGUGCUCUCGGGUGCCGCGAACCGGGUCAAAUUUGGGGACAGCUAGAUUUGGGUCGACAUAUGCAAGAUUUGGUUCUACAUAUGUCGGGUGGUUAGGAACUCCAGCUGGAUUGCUAAGCGGUUCGAAUCGUCGUUGCUCCUCGAUUGGGAGACUCAAUCCACUGACUCUCAUCGUAGUUAAAUAUGCAACUAAGUGGUAAAAUGAGAAAGGGGGAAAUGUCUCAUGAGGUUCGGAUCCCAAUUCCCGGACUUAGAGUGACAUGAAGCUAUGGCCGUUGGAUGGACAAUACUUUUAUUAAGGACUAGAAAUUUACACACUUGUCUUUAAAAAGCAAAUAGAUAGACUGUCCUCGAAUUCCUCGGCCUCUCGAGGUGAGCAAUUCGUGGCUAAAACUUGAAAGUAAGGAUGCACUAGUAGUAAGCUUUUAUGCAAAACAACUUGGCUCCUUGCUCAGCCACCCCUUGUCUACCCUAAGCCUGCAUUCCUAAGUUCUCCUCUUUUUCCGUCGGGUAAGUCUUGUUGAGUACUCCCGUACUCAGGGUUUUAUAACCCUUGUUGCAGGUGCUGACUUGUGCUGCUAAUGGUGGUCAUGUCGGUGGGCGCGACAUGAUUUGUCCACCUCUUCUACCUUAGAAGUUUCACCUAAGAUGCUUCCGCUACUCUACACACCUUUUGGAAAUUUAGUUAAGUUUGUACUUCAUCAUAUUUUGUAAAUUAAGUUAUAAAUCUUCCACACUCCGAUGUAAGUUAUUUUUGUAACAAAUGUUGUAGUGUUGUGGUAACUCCAUGUUGAUCCUGUAUGAGUAAAAAAAUGUGGAUGAUUCAGGGUCCUCUGAGGGCACCCGACAGACUAUCCGAGUUAUAUGACUCUCAUGUGCAGUAGUCAGAGGCCUUAAGGACAAUGACACGUGCAUGUGGGCCAUAUAAUUAGGAGGGUUCUGCCACACUAACCAUAGCUGAGCCAGGCACUGCCUACACACCGGACGCACAGACACGGCGUCCGGUGCCUCUGGGCCAGCGUCUAGUGACUUCUCCAAUUUUCCCAUCGGCGCAAUAGAAAAUAUGCACUUCAUUUCUCAAAAAGUUUUGAAUCCUGCUGAGCUUGCUCAGCGGGAGGGAGAGAGGAACCCAUCCUCUCUCUACCCUUCAAACUCCACCUCCUUCUCAAAGUGUGCUAACACCACCGAAUGUGUACCAACAAGUGCACGUGUGUUUGCAUUUUCACAAUCCUUUUCUUUGAAGGAGUUAAGUUAGCUCACUAGGUUCUAAAUGCAUGCACAUGAAUAAUGACACCUAGUGGCACUUGAUAACCGCUUAGCCAAAGAAUUCCCCUCUUUAUAGUACAGCUAUCUAUCCUAAAUGUGAUCACACUCUCUAUGGUGUCUUGAUUACCAAAACAAAAACCCUAAGCAAUACCUUUGCCUUGAACUCCAUAGGGUUUUGUUUUUCUCUUUCUUCUUUUCCAAGUUAAGCACUUGAUCACCUUGUGGUCAUAAACAUCAUCACCAUGAUCAUCACUUGCUCCACCACUUGGCAUGUACCAACCUCAUUAAGUCUACCCAUACUUAGCAUAGAGGUUAGUACUAGGGUUUCAUCAAUUAUCCAAAACCAAACUAGGGCUUUCACAAGGUGGCUACUCCUACCGAUAAGACUGAACUGCAAUCAUUGAUCGGCAAGAUUAAUUUCAUCAAGAGGUUCAUAUCUAAUUUAUCGGGCAAGAUUAAAGCUUUCAGUCUGUUGCUUAAAUUAAAGGUUGACCAGGAGUUUGUAUGGGAAACUGAGCAGCAGUUGGCCUUAGAUGACAUUAAAAAAUAUUUGACAAAUCCUCUAGUACUGGUUCCACCUCAACAUAGGAAACCCUUCAGACUAUAUUUGUCGACCGAUGAUACUAUUAUCGGUUCUGCUCUUAUUCAAGAAUUUGAAGGGAAAGAACGUGUCAUUUAUUAUUUGAGUAGGAGAUUGGUCAAUGCUGAAACAAGGUAUUUGGCUAUUGAAAAAUUAUACUUAUGUUUAUACUUUUCUUGUAUUAAGUUAAGGCAUUAUUUGCUAUCGGCCGAAUGCAUUGUCAUAUGCAAAGAUGAUGUGGUCAAAUACAUGUUGUCAAUGCCAAUUUUGAGUGGUUGGAUUGGCAAGUGGAUCUUAGCAUUAUCAGAAUUUGACCUACACUAUGAAUCGGCCAAGGCAGUUAAAGGGCAAGUUAUGGCUGAUUUUGUUAAUCAACAUUGCAAUACAGUGGAUUCUUUGGAAGUUGCUCCUUGGAUGUUUUUCUUUGAUGGGUCUACCUAUGAUCAGGGAGGAGGUAUCGGUGUUGUGUUAAUUUCACCCCGAGGAAGGAAGUAUGAGUUUUCAUUGUCGAUUGUUGCUACAUCGAUAAACAAUCGGGCUGAGUAUCAAGCUUUGGUAAGGGGGUUGGAAUUACUUAGAGAAAUACGUGCCGAUGCUGUUGAGGUCUUUGGUGAUUCUAUGCUUGUUAUAAAUCAAUUAAUUGGGAUUUAUGAAUGCCAAAGUGAGGUUUUAAUUUCAUAUUAUGAAAGGUGCUUGCAAUUGUUGAAAGAGUUCAAAGAUUUCCAUGUUGAGCAUAUUCCCCGGUUGCAUAAUGAGGAAGCUAAUCGACUAGCUCAGCAUGCGUCAGGGUAUCAGCUUAUCCAAGAGGUGUAAACAUCGAUAGUCGAUGUCGAUGAUUGGAGAACAGAGAUUGUUGAUUACUUAAGAGAUCCAUCCAAUAGAGUUGAAAGACGUGUGAGAUUCCAAGCUACUAAGUAUGUGCUCCUCGAUGAUGAAUUAUAUUAUCGCACUUUGGAUGGGGUUUUGCUCAGAUGUCUUAGUAAUGAUGAGUCAAAAAGUUUGAUGGGUGUAAUCCAUGAAGGAGUGUGUAGAGCACAUCAGUCAGCUUUUAAGAUGAAAUGGAUAGUCAGGAGAAAUGGAUAUUAUUGGCCGACUAUUCUUGAAGAUUGCUUUAAAUAGAUUAGACGAUGCUAAGGGUAUCAAAAGUUUGGCAAUAUUCAGAGAGCACCUGCAUCGGCCAUGAACACUAUCAUUAAACCCUGGCCGUUCCGGGGAUGGGCUAUUGAUGUUAUCAGUCAAAUUUAUCCGCCAUCAAGCAAAGGGCACAAAUUUAUACUUGUUGCCACCGAUUAUUUCACUAAGUGGGUUGAAGCAAUUCCUUUGAAAAAGGUGACAUCGGCCAAUAUGAUUGAUUUUGUAAAGGAGCAUAUUGUUUACCGAUUUGGUAUUCCUCAAACAAUCACUACCGAUCAGGACAGGCCGAGGCUUCUAACAAAGGGUUCAUUAAACUCAUUAAGCAUAAAAUUGAAGAAAACCCUAGGUAGUGGCAUACAUUGUUAAACGAGGCCCUGUGGUCCUAUCGGAUGGCGUGUCAUGGUGCAACUAAUGUAUCGCCUUAUGAGUUGGUAUAUGGACAUGAUGCAGUAAUACUUUGGGAAAUUAAAACUGGUUCUAGGUGGGUAUUUUCUCAAGAUCAAUUAACGACCAAUGCUUAUGGUACUCUGAUGAAAGAUGAGUUGGAAGAUUUGGCAGGUCAUCGGUUGAGAGCUUUGGUUAGCAUUGAAUAAAAUAAGAAAAGAGUGGCCAGGUGGUAUGAUAAAGGGUAAAAGCCAAGGAAUUUGCCGAUGAAGAUUUAGUUUGGAAAUUGAUUCUACCGAUUGGGGCUAAAAGUUCGAAGUUUGGUAAAUGGUCUCCUAAUUGAGAAGGUCCCUAUCGAAGGGGUUGAAUUUCCCAAAGCGUUAAAUGGAAAGUAUUUAAAGAAGUACUAUCCUAGUAUUUGGAAUGAUGCAUAAAAUUUUAAGUGCCGAUAACAAUCCUAUCGGCUAGACAAAAGUAUCAAUGUUUCCAAGAGGUACCGGUGCAGGAUACUGCUGAUAAAGAAAUUUAUAAAUUUAGCAAAGACUGAAUUGUCGAUAUUGCACGUAGGCGAAUUUGGUCAGCAUCUUCUAUCUCUUUAAUGUCUUCAUCGGCGGAGCCUUCUGCUGGUUUAAGGUUUUUCUUCAUCCCUAAGGCUUUACGGGCUUGAACAUCUCUCUCCUAUUGAAGGGUCUUGAUAGAAUCGGGCAACUGACUUUUCUCUUGUUUAGCAUGGGCUAAUGCUUCUUCAACUUCCUUUAAUUCAGCUAGCAGAGCUUCCCUCCUUGCCGAUAGGUCUAAGAUAUUCUGCUUCAACUCGACACCUGAGGUUUGCAAACUGCCAAUGCUCUUGUUCUUUUCAUCAGCAAUAUGCUUUACUUGCAGCAUCUCUUCUUUAAGUUCAGCCUGGGCAGCUCUAUCGGCAAUACGUUGAGCAGCCUUUUAAUAUUGGAGCUGGCGGUUUUCCAAGUGAGCAGCUUGGAAGAGUGCUUCUUCGACAUUGGCAGGGACUUGGCCACGGACUGUUUUGAAGAUAACUUUUGCCGAGUCUGAAUCAUCUACCAGCUGAGCUGUGUCUUGAUGCAACAAGUUCAGCAGAUCCUCCAGCCUAGAUCUAACUUCUGCCGAUACUGUUCCAAGCGCUAAUGAGGAGCUUGCCUCUUCCCCUUCAUCAUCAGAGAUAUCGAUGGCAAAGGAAAAUAGGCUAUAGGGAGAGUCUUGUUGCUAAGAAAAGAAAAUGAGUCAAUUGAAAGCAAGUAUGAGUAGUGCAGAUCGGUUAAGUCGGAUAGCUUACUUGUUUCAAGGCAAUCUCUUGACUUUGGCUGGAAGACGCAGUCUGGGUUAUGCUCUAAUGAGGGUUGGCUGGGUCUGCCCAUGGAAUAUCUUCAGCUGCAGAAUUGAUUAAUGUUGAGAAUAAUGGCGAUUUCUUUGCAGCUUUAUCGGUAGUGGAUUAUUGAAAUAUGACAAUUAAUGACAUACCUUGUGCGGGCAGAGUGAUGGUUUGCUUAGGAGCAGUGGCCGAUGACGUGCCUUGAUUGGACGGGUCAAUUGUUUGUUCAGGUGCAUGGACCGGAUCAGGUUGACUAGGAGACACCAGCUGAGGUGGAGAAGAUGGUGCAACUCUGUGCCGUUUUGGUUGGGCCUUCGUGCCUGUGAGAGCCUUUUGCUUAGAUUGUGCUUUAGCAGCUGCUGGCUGGGGGGCAUCAGCACCCGAUGGUUGAACAUCCUGGACUCUUGCCGAUGCAUCAGUUUGUUGCUGCAAAACAAAUGUAAGGCAUUGUCGACGAAAGCUAGUCGGCAGUCUACCUUGGGGUAUACCCACGGUAGUAGUUUAUCGGUAGACGGUGCGCAAGCUACGAACUCGAUGGUGACGCAAGACACGGACAAGCUUUUUAUCCAGGUUCAGCCGCCGUGUGGGCGUAAUACCUACGUCCUGCGUUUUGUUGUAUUGAUUUGUGUUGAGAGAAUAAUGUGGCCUAGGGGGGUCCCUUGCCCCUCCUUAUAUAGUCCGGAGGGCAGGGUUACCGAUCUGGAAACUAAUCCUAGUCGGUUACAAUUGCCAUAGAUAGUUCGAUAUCAAUUCCUAUUCUAACCGUCUAGAAUCAUGCUUGAUCUCCACGUCUUGUUUCCUUGCGCGAAACUCCGAGCGGUCGGAUCAAGCUUCGAACUUGUCUCGUAAUGGGCCAAGCCUCAUGGCCCAAGUCUAGCCGUAAGGGUAUAGGGGUUUAUACCCCCACAGCUAGUCUCCGAGCACCAUGUAUUGUGAUGUAGCACGCCGUCUUGAGCUUCUUCGAUUAGUCAGGCUUGACGUCUUCAAUAAGCAGGAAAAUCACCCAAGCAGUCGCAACGAUGUUUUGACUAACUUAAAAGACAGUUGACCAACGCUGACAUCGAAGAAGCAGGUUGUUCGAAGAAUGCAUGGUGUUCUAAAUUGAAAAAGAUUUCUUUCCUAGUGAAGUGUGCCCACUUUACUUUUCUGAAAAGUGCAGAGCUCAUAAAAGCAAGCAUAUUCACCGCAAGGUGAAGUGUGCCCACUUAGUCCCCGAGCCUGGUAGUAGGUGGCGUAGACACGUGGUCCCAGGUUCAAAAGAAAAGUCCUCAGAGAAAUUCUGAAACCAAGAUGCAUCACCAGAUGCAUCGUACCGAUGUAGUCCCCGAGCUUGCUGGAAGGCGAAGUAUAAGCCUUGUAGCAAAGUCUAAAAAAUUAAAAUUAUCCAGUCCCCGAGCAUCUCAUGCUCGUUUGCCAUCGGAUAGACUUAUCAAUCAGUCCCGAGCAGAUAACGCCUUGGUGAUUGGUAUAGUCCCUAAUUCUUCCAAACUGGCGAGCUGGUCGACCAGUCCCCGGGCGUACAGCGCUCGGUGGUCGGUGCGGCCCCCAGAUCUCCGAGUUGGCGGACUGGGCGACCAGUCCCCGAGCAUACAGUGCUCGGUGGUCGGUGCAGUCCCUAGAUCUCCGAACUGGCGGACUGGGCGACCAGUCCCCGAGCAUACAAUGCUCGGUGGUCGGUGCAGUCUCCAGAUCUCCAAGCUGGCGGACUCGGCGACCAGUCCCCGAGCAUACAGUGCUCGGUGGUCGGUGCAAUCCCCAGAUCUCCGAGCUGGCGAAACUGGGCAACGAGUCCACGAGCAUACAGUGCUCGGUGGUCGGCGCAGUCCCCAGGAACGUUGAUCUUCCACCGAUUUUUUUCUAUUAUUUUAUAAAAAGCAUCUUACCACAUAAAUGAGUGAUAUGACGAGACCUCCUGACACAUUGUCAGAUGGUUGCAUGAAAAGGUGCGCCUGGUAACUGUGCAGCCGCUCUUUGCGCGGUUUCGAGAAAAGGAAACCAUCAAUUAUACAAAAAGGCCGCCGUAUUAACUGCCGGUAAUUAUUAAAAACCGAAGCGCUGCGUUUGCCGUUGGGCCCGCCCACUUCCCAAGAAUGCGGGAAGUGGGAGGAGUGGAGUUGUGGUUUAUAAAAGCCUGACAGUACCCCCGUAUUGCUUACCCUGUCAUCGCCUUCAAGCUUUCCGUUCUUGCCUUCUACAACCACCGUCAAUCCUCCCAACUCGCAGUCACUCCAGCAACGUCAAUGGCGAAGAGCGACUCCAAGAAGAGGGCCGAGCGGAUGGCUAAGGAAUGGAAAAAGUCCCAGAGCAGCGUGAAGUCCCUCAACGACCUCGUCGACAUGGGGCUACCGCACAGCCAAGAGCUCGGCGGCUGGAGGGCGCCAGAGGGGGAGAGCUACCCCGACCCCCGUGCCGGUGAGAUCGUGGUUUUUGGGUUCCUGUCCAUCCUUUUCUCCAGGGGCUUCUUCUGUACUAUGAGAUCGUGAUCUGCAAUCUGCAUCCAAACUCAAUUCUUCUUUUUUCCACUUUUAUCCAUCUGUGCGAGGCCUAUGUUGGGAUAGAGCCGCACUUCGAUCUUUUCCGUUAUCUUUUCUGUUUGAGGAAGAAGGGAGCGGUUGGCGGCACCAAGAUUGUAGGUGGAGUAUACCUUAAUCUUCGUGACGGGAUGAAGAACCGGUAUCUAAACUGCCCAUGGAACACUUCUCUCACCGAAUGGUACAAGAAGUGGUUCUACGUCAGGGAAGAGCCGGGCAGCUCCACGUUCUGCGACGUGGGGUACAUUCCCGAGAAGAGGGUCAGUUGGACCGACCGCCCAGAGUUCGCUGGUCAAGUAGCGAAUCUGAUGAAGCUGAUCGACUGGUCGCGUUUGGACGGGCUAGGAGUGGUCGGCAACUUCGUCUGUCGUGGCAGUAGGGCAGAUGGCGGCGAUGGUGCGCGGGGUACGCUAUCUAUUGGCGUCGUCGCGUGGCCGCUCUGCUGACUAGCCAUCAUGACUAUUGUCUUCGUGCGUGGAGCUAUCGGCCCCUCCACCGAGAGGUUCGCCUGUCCCGUACGGGGUGAUGAUCGUGCAGUAGUGGUGGGGCGGUGGCGAUGCUGAUCACGCCUCCUCUUAGGCGGGGAAGCAUGGUGGUGAGGCUACCUUGGGGCCUUCAAUCGUAUGGGCAUGAUGCAAGCCCCUCCCGGUCCUCUGACUGAGAGUAGGAUCAUGUCGUAGCCGAAGCCAGUGGACAUGAACUCAAGGCUCCCGAACCAGAUCACCGUGGAGCGCGGGAUCACCGAAACGUGAAUAGCCAUGAAAAAAAUGGGAAAUCAUCAGUAACAUGCAAGGCCCCUACCUGGUGCACCAACUGUUGGUGUUUUGCCCCUGGGGUAACACCAACGAGUGAAUUUGUAUGCGUGCUCCCUUUUCCAGAUGGUUAUGCAAGAAUGACACAAGUGUUUAUCCUAGUUCGGGCAAAGGAAGGCCCUACGUCUAGUGGGGGGGACAGUGUGUAUUAUCAUGCACCUAAGUGCUUGUACAGGGCCGAAUACAAGUGGAUGCAACUGAGGAUUCUAAGUCCUAGCAGGUUGUAGGGAUGUAUGAACUGUGUUCUACGUAUGUUGUUCGGUUCCCUUCAUAUCGUCCUCAGCAUCCCCUUUUAUAGUUCCAAGGGGAGGCCUAGGUUACAAGGUAUAGGUGUUCUAAGUAGGCCUCGAUAGGGGUAUGGUGCUGACCUACUCGAGACCUCCGUACCGGUGUGGCCUCGAGCCGUCUUGUUACAGGGUACUUUGGUGAUGAUGGCACGUGCAUUUCCUGAGCUUAUCCCCUGCGUAUCGACUGGUAUUGGCUCGAGCGUGCGCACGCUUGUAUGUCACGACAGUCGUCAUGUCUGGAGUGGUUGGAGCGCUGACUUUUAUUGCUCAAUCCUUCCCUGGGAAGGGGCGUGCAUGCUCGAGGGUCCGGCAGCACAGGCGGCUCUGUUAUACAUGAGCACUGACCUUACCGUCUCGAGGGGCGUCUUGAUAGGAUAUUACGCCUACUGCACUGUACCGGAUGUACUUUUCUCCAAUCUUGAGGAUAAAGCUAGGAAAAGGGGGGAUUUGAUGGGUGCACGUUCCCCUUUCACGUUUCCCAUGAGUGUCGGGUUAGGUGGGAGCAUGUCAGUCGCAUUAAAUGCCCUGGCUUCUGUACCCGUGACAGGCGGCGGGGGAGCGCUUUUGCGCUUGAGGCCCACCGAUUCGCUCGACACCCUUUCCCUAACCGAUGGCUGCGGGUUGUCGAGCCUCUGACCAUUUGCUCGACCGUAUUUUCGUACUCGAGGCUAGGGUCAACAAUGUGCUGUGGGUCGAGCGACGGCUUUGGUGCACCUGUUUUUGCACUAGAUCGUCAAGCCUGACCCUCGAGUUGUCUUUGGACCUUUUCAUUAUGAAUGUUUGCUGGGGUACCCCCAAUUGACACCCUCGACAGGGGAGUUGCUGAUGAUGUCCCAGUUGCAGUCGUUAUGCCCUGAAAAGAUGGUGUAAAUAUAGAUUGAAAUCGGCAUGAUUAAAAUAAUUAAGGUUGUUACCUUAAAUGUUUGCACCAAGGUAGCGGCAGCGACCGAAGGAGUGGCAUAUGGACGCUUGGUGGUAAUCUUCUUAAAACAAGCUCCCCGAUGGGUCAAGGCUGCCAAAGUGGGGGCAUUGUAGUCGAUUGCUGAGAUCGGAGACACUGACCGGAGAUCAAAAGGUCGCCCACUUUCGCUCAUGGCUGGUUCUAGAUCAUCGACCUUUCAAAUGAAAGAGUUAGUUACCGAUGGAGUUAAAAAUAAAGAAAGGAUUAAGUAUUGGGAGAAAACUUACUGCGUCAUCAGGGAUAGCAUGCUCGGGGUCGAUGAGGUGCCGAUAUGUGUGAGCCGAUGCUGCAAAUAGUUGGCCUCUCCACUCUUGCCACCAUGACUUGUAAGACCCAGUGAUGAAGGAGGUCGGUACCUAGGUGGACAGAUCGACGUUGUUGGGUAUUCUUAACAUCAUUACCAAAAGUAGACUUAGUUUUCUAAUUUUGAUAACGGUGCCAAAAAUGCCAAACCUAUCCCUCAUACCACUUAAGCCAAGUUGUCAUCCCCAGCAUGAUAUGAGAGACGCGGUAUUGAAAUAUGCAAUUGCUCAUCUAAAUAAAUAAUAAAUGGGAUCUACAAGCGCACAGAUUAAUACCGAUGUAACAUUUUAACCGGGAAGUAUUCCAGGUAUCUUUAUUUAUAUUUUUACCACUGGAAGGGAUUAGUAAUCAUCAAUGUUGAUUAUAGAAUGGAAUAUGAGAUUGAGUAUCUAUCAUUGCAUGUAUAAUUGAGAACAUUUAUCUAACUCUUUCAUACAGCGGUAAGUGUCACAUAAAGGAUAUAAAGUAAUGAAUAGUGAUAAAGAUAAUUAAUCUGAUCAACAUAACUUAGCCACAUAAUAAAUAUGAUAAGCACCUCAAUUAGAUAUUCUAGCAAGUCAUUAGCAUGGAAUUAGAACGAACUACAAGAAUAUUUCCUAAGUUAUUCUUAACUAUACAGUCUAGCAUAUCAUAGUUAGUGCAAUUAUACUUAGCAAUCAUUGUGAGACAGGACUACGCCCAUGCAUAGUGAUAUUAGCAAGGAAUAUGAGAAACAUCGUAAUCACUCCCCUGUAAUAAUGUUGCUCUGCCAGCCCAAUGCAUGAGAGGGGGACUAUAUAAGAAGAAAAUGAAGCUGUCACUAUCAUGAACUACCCCACGAUCUGGCAUAUUGGGUACAAUCAUAGAUAAAUACGGUAUAAGCAUCACGCCUACACAAUAUCUAUCAUUUACCCAUGGAUCCGAUGGAUAAACGCUAUACGAUCCUAAACAUGUAUAUUAAUCCAAUCUAACUAAGCUAAGUAUAUAACUAUGAUAAACUAAGAACAAUAUAAUUGCGAAUAUAAACAAGUAGAGCAAAGUCAUAAGCAAUAUAUUGAUGUAGAACAAAGUCAUAUUCAUAAUAUUGAAGAACAAAGAUGAACAAUUAGAAGAACAAUUAGAGAUUUACCAAGAAUCCUCUUGACAGAUCCGGAAACCAAUCAAAGAUUGACUCCUUCUAGUUCUAAUCCUAUGUGGCUAAGCUAAUCUAGAUGUCUAAUUGAUGUGGUGGCUCUAGGCUUGAUCAGAGGCUUCUUCUCCCUUGAGGAAUAAUGAAUUAGGUUUGAGAGGCUCUCUCCUCCAGGGGCCAGGGGGUCUGGUUUUAUAGUCCCUGCAAGUGAAUCUGGGCCGUUGGAUCGAACCGACGUUGAUUGAACGGUUAUCCUUGAUCCUUUAGGUCGGUGGAGCUUGAUCCCGAAAGAGUGUCCUCAUUGGACUCCAACAGGGGGCGGGCGCCCAGGGCUAGGCCCCGUUUGGCCUCCGCUUCGUUCCUGUGGCUUCUGUUGACGGUCCUUAAGUACCAAAUAUAAUCAUCAAAUAAAUAAAGAAAAGGAUCCAAAUGCAAUCAACACCUAGACUUAGGGUUUGAUCUGACAGAAUUCCACGAGUUUUGUUGUUUAUCUGUUUCUACAGGGGGUUAUCAGGAAAUAAGGAAGAAAGGCCCACAUGUCAGGAUUACAUAGAGAUAUCAACGCACUGCGCAAUUUUCUACCAUCUAGAAGACUCCAGAAGCCACAGGAAGAAAGCAGAGGCCGAAAGGGGCCAGGCCCAGGGCGCCCGCCCUGAGGACCUGGGCACCCGGCCCCCCCUCUGGAUGCCAAUCGGGACUCUUUUCGCACACGACGUUCCACCGACCUAAAGGAUCAAGGGUAACGUAGUACCACAUUGCCUGCUGACCCAAAAAUGCACAGAGGAGGAGGACUAUAUAAGCAGACCCCCUGGCCCCUGGAGGAGUCAAGUUUAUCAUAGAGUUGAGGGGUGCCCUCGAAGGAAAACCUAUUCUCUAAAUAAAAUUUCUUUUUAGGCUCAGCAACCAAUGUAAGUAGAAAUAGAUCUUCUAGUUUCUACUAGAUUGAGAGAGAUAGAGUGGAGGUGUAGAUCGGAGGAAGGCCGGCCUGUCGGUGUCUACUCCGAGGUUGUACCUACGGGAUCAAGUCUUCUAACCUGAGGCUUGCUCCUAAGAUUCUUCAGUAAUUCGACUUCUAAUUCUAGUAAGUUCUUGUUUUAUUGUUCUUUGGUUUAUGAGUUUACUUUAAUCCUCUUCCGGUUGAGUAUUAGAGUAAUCAUUGCUAGCGUAAACGUGGUGUUUAGGCUAGGGUACUCAUAGAUAUCCCCUGACUAGCUGGACCGUGGUAGUAGCGAGGAACGUGACAUUUCCGAGUUACCUUUGUAUCCCAUAUCUCGUUAGCAGGACGGGUAGGUUUAUAGGUGCGGGUCGAACAUCCUUUGUGGUGUCUAGAUUCCGUAAGCUUCCCCAAUAGAACAGUAGAUCAUCCUUACCAAGGUUAGAACAAGACUACGGUUGCAGUCUUCUCUAUACAUCACUCACAUCGAGAAACAUUCUUUGUAGCCUAAAGGGGCAGUAGCAAUAGAUUUGGUUAGUCAGAUGCACCCUUUCUCCCAAUGGUAAAAAAAUAAAUACGAUACUCUGCAAAAACCUCCCGGGUGAAAUGCUCACCGAUAUCCGUGCGCUUGCGGAUCAGUUCCUUAUUGCGUUACCAAAUAUCAACAAGCAUUUAUGGCACCGUUGCCGGGGAGAAAGACGGUUUGCUGAGAUAACUUUAAGUCUUGCUAUUAUCUUGUAUUUUACUCUUAUACUUUUAUUCUUUUAUCUUUUUAUUUUUAUGGAUAACUUAAAUUCCAUACCUAUUAUUGAAUUCUUUGCACCUUUGGAGACCAGCCAUAGACCAUGGGAGUCAGCAAGUCCUGCCCCUAAUUAUGAUCUGUGUCCGGAGUUGAUUGCAAUAGGUGAAAACCAACCCUUUUCUAUAGCCGAGAUCCUAUCUUUUAAUCAAAAAGAUAAUGCACUUUUAGCUACACCUAGGGAAUCUGUUAAUCUUUCUAUAAAUUCUGGUUUAGACCUAGCCCUACAAGACCAUGUUUUUUCUCAAUAUUUUCACAUUAAUCUUAGUCAUAUAACCUUUGGUAGAGUCUUUCUUUCUUUAUCUAUUAGUAAAGGAAGGUAUGUCUUCAUUUGUGGACAUCCUUCUUGCACUAGUCUUCAUAAAAAUAUCCUAGAGAUAGAGAAGGAAUCAUCUCCCAGACAAGGAAAGGAAGUUUCAAUAACCGAUUUCCAAACAUUCCAAUCCCAUGAUUCGGCUAUCCAACCCAUCUUUGAGCUUAACAAUUUCUACUAUGCUCUUUCUCUUGAACCUCCCGAUGAUCCUAUGAAUCUCUCUAGACAUCCCAUGCAUAAGAGUCACCAAGACCACAAGGAGGAUCGGGAAGAGCAACAUCAAUGGCUUGAGGGCAUUAAAAAUCCAUGUGCUAUCACCAUUAAAUGGAUGGAUAAAACAAACUUGAGAGACAAUGCUAGAGGAAUUUUAAGCAUUCAUGAAGAAUCAUCCUUGGAGUUUGAGAAUGAGAGAAACAACAGUGAGCAUGGAAGUUAUUUCAUAAAUACCUCAUCAAGUCCUUGCUCAUAUAAAACAUCUCCCCAAUCAAUUGGUCUCUCUAACCUUACCACAUUUGAGAUCUCCAACCCCCUCUUCCUUUCUAUUUAUAAAAACUUUAAAAGAGCGGUUGUCGAUGCAUAUGUCUAUAAUAAAUAUUGCAGAUCUCGUUGAGUUAAUUGAUGGUUUUCCAAGGACAAGCUUAGUGUCCUAAAACAAGCACUGAUCAGAUCGUAACAUGAACUUCGAAUUAUUUGCAUCAUUGCCUUGUGUAUUGAGCAUAUAAAGAUAGUUGUAGAAAUAUUUCUUCGGGUAUUCUUGUCACUAACCUUUCCAGGAUUGGAGCAAGAAGAUCGGAUGAAUGACAAGCACAAGGUAUGCCCAACCAAUCAUCAUACAACAUUGAAUUAAAUUCAUCCAAUCUUGAAUUUUGCAAAAUUCAAGCUUGGGGGAGUACUUUACAUAAAAACAUCAUUUGCCAUGUUGCUAUGUUGGUUGUCCUUACCUUUGAGACAUGCUCAAUUUGUUAAAUACUAAUCACACUACUUCAUAUCCACUUGAGUAGAUCUCUAUAAAUGCCAUCACGCUACCUUUGUUUAUCCUAGUAAGUGUUAGUUUGGAAGUACUGCACAUACUUCUAUUGGCUUUUAAAUUAAGCAUGGUGCUUAGGUUAAAUAGCCUUCCUUAAUCUGAUUAGACAUGGAGUCUAGUUCAGUUAUUGAACUAAAAACUGCUUGUGUAGACUUUGGUAUAUUUUGUUGGACUAACCCCUGCAGGAAAACUUUCAAUAUCAACCUGGGAAGUCCUGAGAUACAAACUCAUUGGAGAUAAAGGAGACACAUGAAGUUUAACAAUUUACACAAGAAGGACAUAGCUCAUUCAUCAUAAAGAGAUCAUCUAUGGAGGGUGCCACAAACACGAUCCACAACUACUAAGAAAGGAAAGCUUCCACAAGGUGAUACUAUACCAUCACUCUUCAAGUAAGGUAACAUCUUAAGGUACUUGACUAUUGCUUUUAUAAGCUUCUCCUUGGUUCUGGCGUUCACAUAAAAUAAAGAGACAAACAUGUAUGAUUUUAGCUCCAAAUUAAUGAACCCAAUUAAUUCAACAUGUUUAGUCCUUUAAUCUUUGUUCUUAGUACUACCUUCGUGAUCCCACACUCCUAAUCAUAUAAGCUAAAAUGUUGUACAUUCAAUCUUUCGAAGAUAUAAACAAAACAUAAAUAUAGAUAGACUAUCUUUCCAUUAGGUUGAGCCAUCUGAUCUGACAAAUGUUUCAAAUACUACACUCAUGAUCUUAUUAUCCAUCAACUUUGUCUUGCUCACUAUGCUUAAGGUUAGAGAAGAACAAAUACACUUUUGGUUCUGUUGGUGUUUUCCACCAAUAGGGCCCACGCACUUGAUCUCUGCCUUGUCUCUAUGAAUAGGUACACUUCAAACAAAACAUGGAGGAGUUUUACAACUCCCAGACUCCACCAAGUGAAGGACUUGGAUCUACAAGCGCAAACACACUGAGCAGGAUAUUGCCAACACCGCACUUCGAACUGCUGGGCAAACGAAGAACAUGGGUGACUCUAUAUCAAGAGGUGCAGACGUCAAGGUCCACACCUAAUCAAAUGAUGCACCUAAAGGAUGAAGACGGUGAGAAGUCUUGUCUAGAAGACUUAAAACAUUGGAUCCUUGUCGGAAGAGGUCAAUAUCGUCGACUCAAGUCACCUUUCCUAAUCAAGAAAGACAACCCUGGUGUUCCAAGCAUCGAGUGCACAAUCAACGGAUACUCUUUUUAGAAGACACUCUAUGACACCGGAUCUGACGACAACAUAAUGGCCACAGUCACUUAUUAGCUCCUACAUGGAACCAUGCUCCUACAACCAAGAUACAUUCAGCUCCAGACGAUUUUCAGGUCAUUGACAUGGGAGAAGACGAGUAUGAUCCACCCACCAUCCUUGGAAGACCGUUCCUCAACACUAUCAAAGCCAUCAUCUAUAUUAGAACCGGAGAAGUCCACAUGUACUUCCCCUCUGAGAAGGUACGCAGCUAUUUUAAUUUAUUGGCCCUAACUAUAUAGUUGAAGACUCUAAGCAGGUCAGGACAAGAAGACGACGCAACCGCAACCAGAGGAGGAAAAUCAUCAAGAACGGAUGGGUAGACUACGAAGGAGAAGUGAUAAGGACUGAAGACAUACAGCUUGAACAGAACUGCCCUGAGGAGACCAUAGCACCGAGUCAGGUGUGGAGAGAGAAGAUACUUAUACACGAAGAAGAGGCGCCACCGGAAUCACCGACUACGCCACCUAGUGAAUCCCAGGAUGACUGAAAACACAAGGAGUCCCGUUCGGAGGACUUAAAAACACCGAACGCCUUGCCAAGAGGAAAACUUGGUUGUUAUCCUUUUCCUUUCAAUUAUUCAAUUAUAGUUUGCUUAGUUAAUCAGGUUCAUGCUAUCUUGAAAAGAAAAUAAAAAUGUUAAAAAAUAGUAAGCCCCAUGUGAGUAUGCUCAUGGCAUAAAACCCAUAAGUACAUUCACUAUGGUGGCAUAAAAAUAAAAUAAAUAAGUUUUCAUCUUACAAUAAAAAUAUAAAAAUAAUAAGUGCAUGAUCCUGCUAAAUAAGUAACAUUUAUUGAGGAGGCUCAACAUGAUAAAGGCUAGAUAUUUAUGCUAACACUUAACCAGUUCCACAAAGCUUUGUUGUCUAUUUGAGCUCCAUAGAAUUCAAGGAUAAAAAAAAAAGAGAGACUAGCAGACGAAGGACAUCCUAAUCGCUGUCAGGGUGCUGCCGACUUUCAAAUACACCUCCACCACCUGCUAGCAACAUCAGAAGAAAUUAUGUCAAAAUCCAGCUUGGGGGAGAGCACCCCCAUUUAUCCAGCUAAGUGUUUCUACUCACGUUUAUACUUUACUCAAAUAAUAAAAGAUGCAUAAUCAAGAAAACCCAAAUAAAGAUUUUGUGCUUUUAUAUAUAUAUCAUUGCUUAGUUUGCUAAAUAAAUAAAUAAAUAAAGUUUGCUAUGAACCCUCAUGAUAAACUCUGAUAUGGAAAUGAUGAUUAGUUGCUCUGCCAUGACUAGUUCUUAAAAUUGAAAUCUCUCUUAAGUUUAGGCAUGACUGUUAUGAAGUAAGAUUUGCUCUAAACCUGAACUUGUGGAAAGAGUACUUUAUCUAAAGUCUAAGUUGUUAACGGAUAUGAUAUGGGAAGGUUGAGCUGCUAUUUAUCUGUUCCUAGAGAUGCUAGAAUUCUGGAGAAUUUAUCUUUGAAAAAUCUUUAAAAUAUCACAUGAUGAAUUCCUAUAUGAUGAGAGUUUAAAAUCCUACCACAACCAUAUAUACAUGCUUAUUAGACUUUGAGCCACACAUUUACUUUUUACUGCUUAUGAGCAUUGAGUGUGGUCAAGCUGUGUAGACCAUUAGGAGCUUGUCAUGUGGUUAAAAUCAAGAUUCACUUGCACGUUCACUCAUAUACUCAUAUAUGCUACUUCUACUCAGGAAGUACGCAUCCAGAUACAUCCACUCAAUUCCAUCUCCACAUUCACCCAAAAGUAUUCUUCUCCUAUCCGGGAGAGAAUAGCCAAAAAAUAUUUUCCUAUCCCUAUUAUUCCUUGUGAAAUAAAUGCUCCAGUUAUUUUGGUUACUACCACUUGCUACAUUAUUUCAGGAGAUGAGUGCUCUAAAAAAAAGAAAAGAAAAAAAGAGAGAAAGGAUACGAGAAAAUAAAAAGGGGCAAGUGCCCGGAACCUCGAAAAAAAGAAAAAGUGAGACGAGAGGUAAAAAUGGACAAGUGUCCGAUAGUAGAAUUAGGGGUACAAAGCUACCCACCUGAGAGAAAAAGAAAAAUAAAAUAUAGAGCAUCUCAUUCUCCUCAAAAAGCUUCAAAGUGCAAGAAAGGUAUGUAUCCCCUAAAAAGAGCAAAAGUAGAAUUAGAUUUUCACCAUUGUUAUCACCAUCAUCACCAUACACCAUUCGCUCGCCACACAUGCACAUCUUGAUUUGACUUAUUGACUUGUUUCUCUGGAUCCAUGGUUUGACUAUGCAAUAAAUGUCUUGUAAGUAUGUAUUAGCUGUCUCCCACCUAUGAGCUCCAGAUAUCAAAACCUUAUUAGAGUAGGGUGAGAGAGAAGGUAAUAUCACUAUGUAUUAUACCAAAAAUACCACAUACUUUGAGAGAAGGCAUAUACCAUUACUGCCUUGGUAAGGAUCCAGAAAUAACACAAAAGAGAGAUUUGAGUGAAUCAUAUAAGGAAUCUCUGAGUUUUAUUUAAAAAUCUGCAAAAACUCCAGAGCUAUAGCUGACCAAGAAUAAGAGACAUGGCGCUUGACUUGACCGUUCCAUCUUUUAACUGCUCAAGACACAAGUGACGGUUACAAGCCCCAUGGUGAAAGGUAAAAUGAGUAAGUUUUAAGUCUUAACAGUUUAUUCUAACUCAGAGAUGAGAUCUUGUUUGAAUGCGUGUGUACUUUUAAGGCAUGAAACCACUGCAGAAACUCUUAAGUCCAUCCUUGCUCAGCGGCGAGCAAGAGGUAAGCUUGGGGGAGUUGUUGAUGGUCCUUAAGUACCAAAUAUAAUCAUCAAAUAAAUAAAGAAAAGGAUCUAAAUGCAACCAACACCUAGACUUAGGGUUUGAUCUGACAGAAUUCCACGAGUUUUGUUGUUUAUCUGUUUCUACAGGGGGUUAUCAGGAAAUAAGGAAGAAAGGCCCACAUGUCGGGAUUAAAUAGAGAUAUCAACGCACCGCGCAAUUUUCUACCAUCUAGAAGACUCCAGAAGCCACAGAAAGAAAGCAGAGGCCGAAAGGGGCCAGGCAUAGGGCGCCCGCCCUGAGGACCUGGGCGCCCGCCCCCCCUCUGGAUGCCAAUCGGGACUCUUUUCGCACACGACGUUCCACCGACCUAAAGGAUCAAGGAUAACGUAGUACCACAUCUCCUGCUGACCCAAAAAUGCACAGAGGAGGAGGACUAUAUAAGCAGACCCCUGGCCCCUGGAGGAGACAAGUUUAUCAUAGAGUUGAGGGGUGCCCUCGAAGGAAAACCUCUUCUCUAAAUAAAAUUUCUUUUUAGGCUUAGCAACCAAUAUAAGUAGAAAUAGAUCUUCUAGUUUCUACUAGAUUGAGAGAGAUAGAGUGGAGGUGUAGAUCGGAGGAAGGCCGGCCUGUUGGUGUCUACUCCGAGGUUGUACCUACGGGAUCAAGUCUUCUAACCCGAGGCUUGCUCCUAAGAUUCUUCAGUAAUUCGACUUCUAAUUCUAGUAAGUUCUUGUUUUAUUAUUCUUUGGUUUAUGAGUUUACUUUAAUCCUCUUCCGGUUGAGUAUUAGAGUAAUCAUUGCUAGCGUAAACGUGGUGUUUAGGCUAGGGUACUCAUAGAUAUCCCCUGACUAGCUGGACCGUGGUAUUAGCGAGGAACGUGACAUUUCCGAGUUACCUUUGUAUCCCAUAUCUCGUUAGCAGGACGGGUAGGUUUAUAGGUGCGGGUCGAACAUCCUUUGUGGUGUCUAGAUUCCGUAAGCUUCCCCAAUAGAACAGUAGAUCAUCCUUACCAAGGUUAGAACAAGACUACGGUUGCAGUCUUCUCUAUACAUCACUCACAUCGAGAAACAUUCUUUGUAGCCUAAAGGGGUAGUAGCAAUAGAUUUGGUUAGUCAGAUGCACCCUUUCUCCCAGUGGUAAAAAAAUAAAUACGAUACUCUCGAAAACCUCCCGUGUGAAAUGCUCACCGAUAUCCGUGCGCUUGCGGAUCAUUUCCUUAUUGCGUUACCAAAUAUCAACAGCUUCUAGAGUCUUCUAGAUGUAAGAUAAUUGCACGGUACGUUAAUAUCUCUAGGUAAUCCCGACGUGUGGGCCUUUCUUUCGUAUUUCCUAAUAACCCCCUGCAGAAAUAGACAAACACCAAAACUCGUGGAAUUCUGUCAGAUAAAACCCUAAGUCUAGAUGUUGAUUUCAUUUGGAUCCUUUUCUUUGUUUAUUUGAUAAUUAAAUUUGAUACUUAAAGACCGUCAACAAACUCCCCCAAGCUUACCUCUUGCUCGUCCCUGAGCAAGGAUAAUCUCACCGAUGGAUCAGAAGUUGUUGCAAUACCUUUAAAAGUUGACGGUACACAUGCUUCUAAAGAAGGUCUCAUGUGUGAGUUAGAGUAAACUGUCAAGACUUAAAACUUACCUACUUUACCUUUCACCAUGGGACUUGUAACCGUCACUUCUGUCUUGAGUAGUUAAAAGAUAGAACGGUCUAGUCAAGUGCCAUGUCUCUUAUUCUUGAUCAGCUAUAGCUCUGAAGUUUUUGCAGAUUUUCAAAUAAAACUCAGAGAUUCCUUGUAUGACUCUCUUAGAUCUCUCUUUUGUGGUAUUUCUAGAUUCUUACCAAGGCAGUAAUGGUAUAUGCCUUCUCUCAAAAAGUAUGUGAUAUUUGUGGUAUAAGGCAUAGUGACAUUGCCUUCUCUCUCACCCGACUCUAAUAAGGCUUAAAUAUCUGGAGCUCAUAGGUGGAAGAUAAAAUAUACAUACUCACAAGACAUGUAUUGUAUAGUCAAACCAUGGAUCCAAAGAAACAAAUCAAUAAGUCAAAUCAAGAUGUGCAUGUGUGGCAAAUGAAUGGUAUAUGGUGAUGAUGGUGAUAACAAUGGUGAAAGUCUAAAUCUUUUGCUCUUUGAGGGGAUACAUACCUUUCUUGCUUUUUGAAACUUUGUGAGGAGAAUGAGAUGCUCUUCUUUUUAUUUUCUCUUUCCUCUCAGAUGGGCAUCUUGUACCCCUAAUUCUACUGUCGAACACUUGUCCAUUUUUACCUCUCGUCUCACUUUUUCUUUUCUUUUGAGGUUCUGGGCACUUGCCCCUUUUUAUUUCCUCGUAUCUCUUUUUUUAGAGCACUCAUCUCUUGAGAUAAUAUAGCAAGUGGUAGUAACAAGAUAACUUGAGCAUUUAUUUCAUAGGAGAAAAACAGAAAUAUUUUUGGUCAUUCUCUCCCGGAUUAGGAGUAGAAUGUUUUUGGGUGGUUUCUGAAGAUGGAAAUGGGUGGAUAUAUGUGGAUGCGUACUUCUGAAGUAGAAGCAGCAUGUGUGAGUGAUCGUGCAAGUGAAGCUUGAUUUAACCACAUGACAAGCUCCUAAGGGUCUACACAGCUUGACCACACUCAAUG
RNAcentral lists this long non-coding RNA (27737 nucleotides) under Sorghum bicolor (sorghum). Its description in RNAcentral is "long non-coding RNA (SBIC_LNC010164)". The record is from RNAcentral. Lineage: Eukaryota; Viridiplantae; Streptophyta; Magnoliopsida; Poales; Poaceae.